CCUACGGGAGGCAGCAGUGAGGAAUAUUGGACAAUGGGCGCAAGCCUGAUCCAGCCAUGCCGCGUGCAGGAAGACGCAUCUAUGGUGUGUAAACUGCUUUUGUACGGGAAGAAACACUCCUUCGUGAAGGAGCUUGACGGUACCGUAAGAAUAAGGAUCGGCUAACUCCGUGCCAGCAGCCGCGGUAAUACGGAGGAUCCAAGCGUUAUCCGGAAUCAUUGGGUUUAAAGGGUCCGUAGGCGGUUUGGUAAGUCAGUGGUGAAAGCCCGCAGCUCAACUGUGGAACGGCCAUUGAUACUGCCAGACUUGAAUUACAAGGAAGUAACUAGAAUAUGUAGUGUAGCGGUGAAAUGCUUAGAUAUUACAUGGAAUACCAAUUGCGAAGGCAGGUUACUACUUGUGGAUUGACGCUGAUGGACGAAAGCGUGGGGAGCGAAC
RNAcentral lists this ribosomal RNA (438 nucleotides) under Flavobacterium cheonhonense. RNAcentral's name for it is "bacterial SSU rRNA". It matches the Rfam family "Bacterial small subunit ribosomal RNA", at positions 338 to 773 of the family's 1533-position model. The record is from RNAcentral. Lineage: Bacteria; Pseudomonadati; Bacteroidota; Flavobacteriia; Flavobacteriales; Flavobacteriaceae.